This is a long non-coding RNA of Helianthus annuus (common sunflower), 431 nucleotides long. RefSeq lists it as uncharacterized. Lineage: Eukaryota; Viridiplantae; Streptophyta; Magnoliopsida; Asterales; Asteraceae. The transcript is spliced from 2 exons. The record is from RefSeq and is a predicted model, not a curated record.
UCCUAUUAUAUCUCCACCCAACAAUUUACUACCCAUGAAAUCAAGAAUUUAUGUUGCACAUGUCAUGUGACAACCGACACCCACACCACCGACACCCCCACCGACGCUGACACAAGACGACCGAGAUUACCGUUGGCGGGCUACCGGCGAAGAUACCGGCGAUAACCAUGUUGACGUGCUUGCAGAUAUCCAAACACCCAUGUCUUCUACAGUUCUGAACCGUACAAGUUGAAAUAUAUGAGAUUCUGACCGGCGCACCAACUGUUCGAUAAAAUGCGUCAUCGAAUUUUAAUGGAAGAUUGAAAUUCUCUAAUUUGAGUAAUCUACUUGGAUUGGUGAGUUGUGACAUUAACGCAAUGAAUAGAAAUUUAGUACUGAAUACUGCUACCGGACCGAACUGUAUGGUACCCAUACCAGUACACGUACCGUUU